AACUUUUAACAACGGAUCUCUUGGCUCUCGCAUCGAUGAAGAACGCAGCGAAAUGCGAUAAGUAAUGUGAAUUGCAGAAUUUCAGUGAAUCAUCGAAUCUUUGAACGCACCUUGCGCCUUUUGGUAUUCCGAAAGGCAUGCCUGUUUGAGUGUCAU
Molecule: ribosomal RNA, 156 nt
Filed under: Fibulobasidium inconspicuum
Lineage: Eukaryota; Fungi; Basidiomycota; Tremellomycetes; Tremellales; Sirobasidiaceae
Description: 5.8S ribosomal RNA
Rfam family: 5.8S ribosomal RNA
About the family: 5.8S ribosomal RNA (5.8S rRNA) is a component of the large subunit of the eukaryotic ribosome. It is transcribed by RNA polymerase I as part of the 45S precursor that also contains 18S and 28S rRNA.
Source: RNAcentral